CCUACGGGAGGCAGCAGUGAGGAAUAUUGGUCAAUGGACGAGAGUCUGAACCAGCCAAGUAGCGUGAAGGAUGACUGCCCUAUGGGUUGUAAACUUCUUUUAUAUGGGAAUAAAAUGUUCCACGUGUGGGAUUUUGUAUGUACCAUAUGAAUAAGGAUCGGCUAACUCCGUGCCAGCAGCCGCGGUAAUACGGAGGAUCCGAGCGUUAUCCGGAUUUAUUGGGUUUAAAGGGAGCGUAGGUGGAUUGUUAAGUUAGUUGUGAAAGUUUGCGGCUCAACCGUAAAAUUGCAGUUGAAACUGGCAGUCUUGAGUACAGUAGAGGUGGGCGGAAUGCGUGGUGUAGCGGUGAAAUGCUUAGAUAUCACGAAGAACUCCGAUUGCGAAGGCAGUUCACUGGACUGCAACUGACACUGAGGCUCGAAAGUGUGGGUAUCAAACAGGAUUAGAUACCCCUGUAGUC
RNAcentral lists this ribosomal RNA (460 nucleotides) under uncultured bacterium. Its description in RNAcentral is "partial 16S ribosomal RNA". It matches the Rfam family "Bacterial small subunit ribosomal RNA", at positions 338 to 795 of the family's 1533-position model. The record is from RNAcentral.